UGGGAGGAAAAUGAUAGAAAA
RNAcentral lists this non-coding RNA (21 nucleotides) under Caenorhabditis elegans. The record is from RNAcentral. Lineage: Eukaryota; Metazoa; Nematoda; Chromadorea; Rhabditida; Rhabditidae.